CGGACGGGUGAGUAACGCGUGGGUAACCUGCCUCACACAGGGGGAUAACAGUUGGAAACGACCGCUAAUACCGCAUAACCCGCUGGUGCCGCAUGGCACUGACGGAAAAGAUUUUAUCGGUGUGAGAUGGACCCGCGUCUGAUUAGCCAGUUGGCAGGGUAACGGCCUACCAAAGCGACGAUCAGUAGCCGGCCUGAGAGGGUGAACGGCCACAUUGGGACUGAGACACGGCCCAG
RNAcentral lists this ribosomal RNA (236 nucleotides) under uncultured Bacillota bacterium. Its description in RNAcentral is "uncultured Firmicutes bacterium partial 16S ribosomal RNA". It matches the Rfam family "Bacterial small subunit ribosomal RNA", at positions 99 to 334 of the family's 1533-position model. The record is from RNAcentral. Lineage: Bacteria; Bacillati; Bacillota.